GGCUCGAGGCUCGCUUCCGCCGCCAGACCCAAACCAGCCUCCUCUCCAUUUCGCAUCCCCAAACUAAACCAAAGCUCCACCUCUCCUCGCAUUUUCAGGUCGCCUGUGGAGUUGAGCUGCUGUGUGGAGACGAUGCUUCCGUACCACACAGCCACAGCCUCUGCAUUGCUCACUUCGAUGCUCUCUGUCUCUCAGCGCUCCUACGGUUGGACCCCUGAAGGGGGGUGAUGUUAGAUGAUGAUGGAUGGAAGUGUGGCCAUGACAUUGAAUCAGGCAAGACAAGACUAGAUGAGGAUCAAGCAUCAAAUAUGGAGUGACUUGGAUUUGUUUUUGUUGUCGACUUUUGAAAGUGUUCAUUGGACUGUUCUCUUCAGUAGAAUAGAUGAGAAGAACAUCAAUCUACAAUUAUCUAGCAAAGUGUUGACUUUUAUGUGUAAAAUUGGGUUUUUCAUUCAUAUAACAGUUGUAUUCCUUUGCAUAAAUGUGCUUUUGUGCAAUUCUUUCAACAAUGGUGAAUUGAAUAUCUGAUGGUUUCUGCUGAUAUGAAUGUUGAAACUUUGAAUGGAAAUGCAAAAAUUUAGUCAA
Non-coding RNA from Prunus avium (sweet cherry), 585 nucleotides. The record is from RefSeq and is a predicted model, not a curated record. NCBI's taxonomy places the organism in Eukaryota, Viridiplantae, Streptophyta, Magnoliopsida, Rosales, Rosaceae.